UUUUCAUGCGUCGGCAACAGAUGACUUGAACAUAUUCCAGUCAGGUUUUCACAAUUUGCUUGAUUUCAGUUCAAACGAUAAAUACCAACGAUGACUGUUUCUUGACAAGAAAAACAGGUGAAAGCAGCAACCAGGCAACUAUUUCAAUCAAUACCUUCACCAUUUUGCUGUCAUAAUUACCACUAUCAUUUAACCACCAUCAACACCAAUUAUAAUCACCAUCGUAACAAUCAUUUGUACCAUCAUAACCUCCAUCACCGCCCUAAGUGACAAAACCUUAACUAUCAGCAUUUUUACACCAUCGUCACUGUCAUCACCUCUAUCAUCGCCACCAUCAUCAUCU
Molecule: non-coding RNA, 343 nt
Organism: Paramuricea clavata
Lineage: Eukaryota; Metazoa; Cnidaria; Anthozoa; Malacalcyonacea; Plexauridae
Source: the annotation of a GenBank genome assembly